This 60-nucleotide microRNA precursor is filed under the name Tribolium castaneum (red flour beetle). RNAcentral describes it as "Tca-Mir-3811-P6_pre stem-loop". The record is from RNAcentral. Lineage: Eukaryota; Metazoa; Arthropoda; Insecta; Coleoptera; Tenebrionidae.
UCAUAUUCGCACUUGACAUAUUUUGGAUUAAAUAAAAUAUGUACACGUGUGGAUAUGGGG